CCUACGGGAGGCAGCAGUAGGGAAUCUUCCGCAAUGGACGAAAGUCUGACGGAGCAACGCCGCGUGAACGAUGAAGGCCUUCGGGUCGUAAAGUUCUGUUGUUAGGGAAGAACAAGUGCUAGUUGAAUAAGCUGGCACCUUGACGGUACCUAACCAGAAAGCCACGGCUAACUACGUGCCAGCAGCCGCGGUAAUACGUAGGUGGCAAGCGUUGUCCGGAAUUAUUGGGCGUAAAGCGCGCGCAGGCGGUUUCUUAAGUCUGAUGUGAAAGCCCCCGGCUCAACCGGGGAGGGUCAUUGGAAACUGGGAAACUUGAGUGCAGAAGAGGAAAGUGGAAUUCCAAGUGUAGCGGUGAAAUGCGUAGAGAUUUGGAGGAACACCAGUGGCGAAGGCGACUUUCUGGUCUGUAACUGACGCUGAGGCGCGAAAGCGUGGGGAGCAAACAGGAUUAGAUACCCUGGUAGUCCACGCUGUAAGCGAUGAGUGCUAAGUGUUAGAGGGUUUCCGCCCUUUAGUGCUGAAGUUAACGCAUUAAGCACUCCGCCUGGGGAGUACGGUCGCAAGACUGAAACUUANAGAGUAGUCGACGNGNGAGAGCGACGACGACGACGACGGAGGAGGAG
RNAcentral lists this ribosomal RNA (623 nucleotides) under uncultured bacterium. RNAcentral describes it as "bacterial SSU rRNA". It matches the Rfam family "Bacterial small subunit ribosomal RNA", at positions 338 to 949 of the family's 1533-position model. The record is from RNAcentral.